Alosa sapidissima (American shad) is the source of this 403-nucleotide long non-coding RNA. RefSeq lists it as uncharacterized. The record is from RefSeq and is a predicted model, not a curated record. Lineage: Eukaryota; Metazoa; Chordata; Actinopteri; Clupeiformes; Clupeidae. The transcript is spliced from 3 exons.
GCAGUUUUCAAAACCUUGUACAGUUAAGCAGGAUUUGCUAAGCUGCUGUUACUGAAACGAGGGGUUCCGACCGUAAGGUCAUCACAACCGCAUGCUGUUUUAUCUAGCAGCCAUGCACUUCAAUGAGAAUGCUGAGUCCCCACAACAGAAGACAGCCAAGGAGAAACUAUGUACAGACUUGCCAAACAAUUUAUCAUCAAAGACCCUCUUCCUUAUUGGCAUGCCGUCCAGCGGAUUCCUGUGCCCCAGGACUUGUGUGCUCAGCUUGACAGACCUUCCAUGGAGGAUGCUGUUGCUGAACAUGUGUCACGGUUCAGUCGAAAAGGGGUCUGAAUCCAACGUACUGCCCUGAAGUAUCCGGAAGCUCCCUCCAUAUGCGUAGCACCACAAACAAGGGGAUCAU